This 492-nucleotide ribosomal RNA is filed under the name uncultured bacterium. Its description in RNAcentral is "partial 16S ribosomal RNA". It matches the Rfam family "Bacterial small subunit ribosomal RNA", at positions 29 to 507 of the family's 1533-position model. The record is from RNAcentral.
AGUGAACGCUGGCGGUAGGCCUAACACAUGCAAGUCGAACGGCAGCACAGUAAGAGCUUGCUCUUAAGGGUGGCGAGUGGCGGACGGGUGAGGAGUACAUCGGAAUCUACUUUUUCGUGGGGGAUAACGUAGGGAAACUUACGCUAAUACCGCAUACGACCUACGGGUGAAAGCAGGAGAUCUUCGGACCUUGCGCGAUUGAAUGAGCCGAUGUCGGAUUAGCUAGUUGGCGGGGUAAAGGCCCACCAAGGCAACGAUCCGUAGCUGGUCUGAGAGGAUGAUCAGCCACACUGGAACUGAGACACGGUCCAGACUCCUACGGGAGGCAGCAGUGGGGAAUAUUGCACAAUGGGCGCAAGCCUGAUCCAGCAAUACCGCGUGGGUGAAGAAGGCCUUCGGGUUGUAAAGCCCUUUUGUUGGGAAAGAAAAGCAGCAGGUUAAUCCCCCGCUGUUCUGACGGUACCCAAAGAAUAAGCACCGGCUAACUUCGUG